CAUCUCAUGCCAAGAGUUAUCUGUGUGAGGGAGUUUAGUGGGUAUAAGAAUCAGGUUUUGGCAUCAGACAGAUCUGGGUUCAAAUAUGGAGUCUGCAGUUAGUGGGGUAGCAACGGGCAAGUUACUCAACUGCCAAGACCCCAUUUCCUUAUCAGAGAGAACUGGCACCUUUUUUAGUGGGAUGGCAAUGGGCAAGUUACUCAACUGCCGAGACCCCAUUUCCUCAUCAGAGAAAACUAGCACCUUUUUUUACAUGUGGUUAACCUGAAUCUGGCCUGCAGAUAUUGAUAUGCUGGAGGAAUUUGCCUACUUGAGAACUCAGGAAGGUGGGAAAAUUCAUCUGGAAUUACUACCCAAUCAAGGAAUGCUGAUCAAGUAAGCAUGUUCUCUUUUGCUCUUCCAUGCUGAGUGCUCACCUUUUGUGUCUUUGUAUGAAGUAUUUGUAAAUGUCUAUACCUAUCAAAAAUUUAAUACAAAGGACUUUAAACCUGG
This 492-nucleotide small RNA is filed under the name Pan troglodytes (chimpanzee). Its description in RNAcentral is "retained intron". Lineage: Eukaryota; Metazoa; Chordata; Mammalia; Primates; Hominidae. The record is from RNAcentral.